UGCAAUCAUUUUACGAAUUAACUCGAGUCUGAUUCAUAUUUGUCUGGCGCUCCUCAUUUUGUUGAAAAUCAUGUCUAUGAAAACAUGAUUUUUUUCUGCACUCUGUACAUAUAUCUUGGGUGCAGAUUUGUUGGAGCACCCAAAUUUCUUUCUAAUAUAAACUAUUGGAAAGAUUUUUUAUAUACAUCAUAAUAUUAAUGUAGAAGAGCCUAUGGUGCAUACAUAUUUUGACAUUCCAGCUCAAAGAAAUCACUUGAUAGAUAUUUUUAUCGUAUAUAUAUUGCCACUUUGGAUAUUUGUUUGUUGAAUGCUCCUCAUUACAUUUUAUAUACAGUGGACUACUUUUGAAGUAAAUCAAAGCAUAUUUACUUUUGUUGAUAUGCUUCAUUUUCUUAGCAUGGAGAUUAAGAACGAACUUUUGUGUGCAGCGAACUAAGUUUCUUGUUUGCCACUAUAUUUUAGCAUGCGUAACAACUAAAGGAUGCAUUAAAUUAAUCUUUGCAACAACCAUUGGUGUUGAAGUUCACCCAUUGGAUUUCACCAUCAGUUGUGGAAAUAUUUGCUUCGAUUGCUGGGACAUUGCUAUGCUGGGAAAAAGGAGUUCGGUGGCCUUAGGGAUGUACACUAGUUAGUGUUAUGUGUUACGUAUUCUGAAAAGACAGUGAAGUUGCAGCGUAUGUUUCUUCUGCAUAUGGUGGUGUCCUAUUGUCUCAAUAGAUAGAUCCCUUGGUUAACUUGUAAUGUGGUUUCCUUAGCUUAAUUAUUGAUUUGUUGUUCCUAGGAUGUUAGUUAUUACGGAAAUACAAUGAAGUUUAUGCUAAUGUUUCUGCAUAUGAAUUAGUUGUAUUGUCUCAAUAGGUGGAUGUCUUAGUUCACUUGUAAAUUGUUUCCUCAGUUUUGUAGUAUUUGUUGCUCCUAAGGUGUAUUUAUCAGCAUCAUGCGUCGUUAUCUGAAGUUCUGUUAAAGCUUGUAGUACUUUUCUUGGGUUGCUACUGUUUAUUAAUAUGCCUGACUGAUUUUUCUUUUUAAUUAAUUUUGCAAUAUCCAUGGUCAGCAUGCGAUCAUUUUGUUUGAUGUCACAUCAAGAUGACUUACAAGAAUGUUCGGAUUAUGGGUGUACUUCUGUUGCAUAUCUUUAGAUUAUGGUUCGGAUUUCUUCUGUGUAGCUGAUGGCAUGUUGUGGGUUGGAUAUUGGCAAUUUGGGAUCAAUAUAAUGGUUUGAUGCUAGUGGGUUUUGUUGGAAUUGCUGCAAUACCCUGUUCUUAUUUUUGUGUGGAACACUGCGGUUAAAUGAAUGCUUUUAGCUAGUCUCUGUUUGCAUUGCUUGAUGUUUUCUUAUAUGCAGUAACUCGGUAUCACAUCAUUGGAGCAGCACAUCAUGCUGGUGCUGCAUUCUGUUUUUUCAUAUAUGCAUUGCCUGAUGUUAGUCAUCUGUGGUAGUUCAAUAUCACGUAAAUGGAGCAGCCUAUAUUUUCUGCGCCUCAAUCGACUAUUUUCCUAUGUUGAUUUGCAUAGUAUGAUGACUUGAGCCUUUUUUCUGCUUGUUUGUCGGUGUCGAUUGUCAAACAGCAGAGACACUUAAAGAUCGAUUUUUUCCGCCUACUGCAGAGAUAUAUUCCUCCAUCUGCUGCUAUGUUGUACAACGAAAUCUUGAUAAAGAAAUCUUUGGUAGCAGAAGAAUUGCAAAUCAGAACCCCACUUGGGAAAGAUGUUUGAUUCCAUUUGGUUAUUCACUCCGAAAUUCCUAUUUUGAUGGUGAACAAUGUGCGGUAUUGUUUCUGAAUGUUGGAUAUUAGCACCUGCACGUGCAGCUGAUGAAAUGAGAAGCUUAUCAUCUCCACAUGUGUGCCAAGGAGUAGGCUGAAGCUAGAGAUAUGAAUGAGGUUGUGUCUUCGUUCCUAGUUAUAUGAUGAUAUGAAUUAGGUGCACAUUGUCGGUACAAAGGCUAAAGUUAUGUUGGGUGGGAUUCAUGUAAACAUGUGUCAAGUACUGCUCAGAUUGUUCCUCGAUGUGCUCCACGUCGAAACCCAGGUGUUUAAAGGGGUCAAAAUCUCGUCUAAUACCUCAGGGAUUUGAUUGGGGCACAAGGUUUGCUGAUAGAGGGAUUCAGAGAGUGGCCACCUGUAAGAGACGAAAGCAUCAAACUCAAUGGGAAGAUGGAAUUGGUGAGCUGCAAUACGCCGGAAGGCAGCUCUUUCUCGUGUUUUUUGAUGACAGAUGCUCGAAAGUGUUCUAUGCCGCAAGGCAUUCUCCUUUGAAAAUUGAGGAUCUAGUAGUCUGAACAGUAUGGAGGUUGAGUCUAUACAUUUGGAAUGCAAGCUUGAGCCUCUGAUUCAUCUGCCUUGAAGUCAAAGUCGUCCGCCUGGAGAUGUAGCUCCAACCUAAUGCCGAACACCACUCCAGGGUCUCUGCAAUGUUGGUGAGGACAACUCCAGCCUCGGCGCCAAGUGCGGCAAGUUCUGCCUCGUCCUCACCAACCAAGACGAUGAUUCAUAGAAAUUGUUAGGAGAAAUAGGACAUCAGCUUCAGAGUAUUUCCAAGAAAAAUGCUAGCAGAGACGGACGAUGCCGACCACUCGUUCAUUCUACCAGCAGAAACAAUCGAGUGAUAAAGUUUGAUAGCAGAGUGACAGUCAGUGCAAACUCUGAGGUGACGGAUGGCCGAGACGCUGACCGAACCUUGUUCUUGGAGCGAUCGGUGGAUUGCCGUGGUGUUGGUGGAAGGGAGAGUCCUUGAUGUAGCAGCAUCACAAUGGACAAGCCUGGCCAGCAUCUCCAAUGAAUAUGCGAUUCAGUGCGGCCUGUCUCUGGAGCUAAGAUGAACAAUACUUCUGCGGCUCUGCGAGAUAUGAUAAUAUCAUCAGCGAGUUGAGAUUCACCGACAACAACAAGCUGAAGCAAAUCUACGCCUAGCACAGUCGUGGUGAGUGGUCUGAGCAUUCCUCCUCCAGCAAGCACAUACCAAACAUCCGCAACUUAGAUCGGUUUGAAGAAUCUGAUAAGUGAAGGGCAUAGCGGCUAGUGUGUUGCUAUCCUUGUCUGCCUAUGUUGUCGGCAAAUCAAGUUUUGAGAUUGAAGAGGGACACAUGCUACUGGUGACUCCUUGGAAGACAAGGGACACUGUUUGGGCUACAAUAAAAGAGAAUCCUGGUAUGCAGCAUGUGAGACAAUCAUUACCUGGACUACAACCCCCUCCCGCUGAGCUCCUCGGGUUGCUUCUAUUAGUCAGGCGGUGUGGUGUUAGUUGUAUUUAUGCAGCACCAGCCUCCCCGAGCUGCGUCUGCUAGCGUGCACCCGGGCUAGAAGCCUGCACCUUCCUGGAGAUGCGGCUCCGUUAUGAUGCCAGGGGCCUCGGGAAUGCUGAUGAGGACAACUCGACCCAAACAACGGCAAGGUCUGCCUUGUCCUCACCAACCAAGGCGAUAAAAGCUUAUGAUGGUUGUAUACACUAUUAUGGUUUGUAUUCUUGAAGUUGGAUAAUGGAAUUGAGAAAAUGAAGUAAAGUUAUAGCAAAGUUAAUUGACCGGUGUCAUGUUUUUGUUGUUGAGAUUCACAGAAAACAACAAGCUGAAGAAAAUCUACACCUAGCCCAGCCGUGGUGAGUGGUCUGGGCAUUUCUGCUCCAGCAAGCACAUACCAAACAUCCACAAAUCAGAUCAGGUUGAAUAAUAUGAUAAGUGAAGGGCAGAGCGGCUAGUGUCUUUCUACCCUUGUCUGCUUGUGUUGUCGGCAAAGCAAUUUUUGAGAUGCAAGAGCGACACAUGCUACUGGUGACUCCUUGGAAGACAUGGGACACUGUUACCCUGGUAUGCAGCAUGUGACAAUCAUACCUUGGUGCCCCACUGGGAGGGCUAUGUGCGGCCUGAGUUGAAGACUCAUGCACUUAGGGUCUGUGGACAGAGAUGCUUUUGCUGAUGACGCUGAAUAUGUUUUGCCAUUGCCUUUGUUGUUUCAAAAUGUUGAACUAGUACUGUAUUUUUUUGAUGGAAAUCUGUUUCACUGAAGAAAAGCUUGUUUGUGGACAUUGUGUUUACUUAUAUUUUGCUGAAACAUGUAUGUUUGUAGGCCCUCUUGCGGUCUGGCUAUGUGGUGCGUUGAUGGUGGUGGUGCUAUUCUUGGGCUUGCCGAUGCUUCCCGCUCCCCUCUUGGGUUAGGCUUGGGUGGCCCCUGGCUUCGACUACCUCCUCGGUGUGGCGGCCGUGAUGCUCAACCUCGGCUACAAGCUUUCCGGAGUCUGAUGAGAUACUGGUUCACCCUUUGGUUAUGUGGCUACCAACUUACCAAGUGCUCUGUGAUUUUUUGUACUUACUUCCUUCAUCUUUGUCAGGGCACCCUCAGCGAGGCCAAGAUGUACUACAGGGCGAUCAUGUUUGUGAAGGCGGACUGCCAAAAUCUGUCCACCUUCGUGUUGACAAGUUCCCCAGAUCCAGUUCACCCGGUCUUCGAGUAGUUUGAACUAUCGCACACCUGCAAGUCCUCCAGUGUCUUAUCUGGGUACAAUGUCUUCCAGCCUGCAAACAGAGAUUAGAUGGUUUUGAAUCUAAAUACGAAUUCUUAAGGUAGUGUCUGAGGUUUUUUCACCAAGGAUGGCAGAUAGACGGAUAGACCAGAUUUAACCUUGCAUUGCUUCAUUCGGAUGGUUACUUAUUCUUUUUGUAAUCAUCAUAUCUGAGGUUCUUAUUGGAUGCUUCUCUGGGAUACCAAGUGAAGUAACAGCAUAACUUCCUAAGUAGGUGCUAUGAUCAGAAUGCAAGAAUCUGGAUAUUGUCUCCUUGGUGAUGCGUUGGUUGCAGCCUUCAGUUUCAUGUGGUUCCUCCCUAUGGUUUGGACUGCAUGCUCAAUCAGCCGAUGCUAUCAGCAAGGUGGAGCCAUGGAUUGGAGAAGGAAGAAGCGCACAUCUAGAUGCCUGGUGCGGUGAUUUUGGAUUAUGUUGGUUUCGCUGCUAGGAUUGAUCAGCAAUCGUUAAGUCAUAAGAAGUUUUACAUUGUUGUUUUGAACUAUUCUUGUAAUGGCAUGGAAUUGGUACUGAAAUAUGAGUGGAGUGCUAAUUCUAUGUAUGUAAAAAUGAAACUGUUGGCGAAGCAUUAUCUUCAAAAUUCGUAGCAAAUCAUACGUGUCUGGUACUACCUAUACCUGUGUAUGCUGCAGCUACGAGAAGUUAACUAUUAUUUGGAUUAUUGUAUAUUGUCCAUCCUUUCGUAA
Molecule: non-coding RNA, 5201 nt
Organism: Lolium perenne
Lineage: Eukaryota; Viridiplantae; Streptophyta; Magnoliopsida; Poales; Poaceae
Source: RefSeq, a predicted model, not a curated record